Molecule: ribosomal RNA, 488 nt
Filed under: uncultured bacterium
Lineage: Bacteria
Description: partial 16S ribosomal RNA
Rfam family: Bacterial small subunit ribosomal RNA
Source: RNAcentral
UAGGGAAUCUUCCACAAUGGACGCAAGUCUGAUGGAGCAACGCCGCGUGAGUGAAGAAGGCUUUCGGGUCGUAAAACUCUGUUGUUGGAGAAGAAUGGUCGGCAGAGUAACUGUUGCCGGCGUGACGGUAUCCAACCAGAAAGCCACGGCUAACUACGUGCCAGCAGCCGCGGUAAUACGUAGGUGGCAAGCGUUAUCCGGAUUUAUUGGGCGUAAAGCGAGCGCAGGCGGUUUUUUAAGUCUGAUGUGAAAGCCCUCGGCUUAACCGAGGAAGCGCAUCGGAAACUGGGAAACUUGAGUGCAGAAGAGGACAGUGGAACUCCAUGUGUAGCGGUGAAAUGCGUAGAUAUAUGGAAGAACACCAGUGGCGAAGGCGGCUGUCUGGUCUGUAACUGACGCUGAGGCUCGAAAGCAUGGGUAGCGAACAGGAUUAGAUACCCUGGUAGUCCAUGCCGUAAACGAUGAAUGCUAGGUGUUGGAGGGUUUCC